GAUGAACGCUGGCGGCGUGCCUAAUACAUGCAAGUCGAGCGAACGGACGAGAAGCUUGCUUCUCUGAUGUUGGCGGCGGACGGGUGAGUAACACGUGGAUAACCUACCUAUAAGACUGGGAUAACUUCGGGAAACCGGAGCUAAUACCGGAUAAUAUUUUGAACCGCAUGGUUCAAAAGUGAAAGACGGUCUUGCUGUCACUUAUAGAUGGAUCCGCGCUGCAUUAGCUAGUUGGUAAGGUAACGGCUUACCAAGGCAACGAUGCAUAGCCGACCUGAGAGGGUGAUCGGCCACACUGGAACUGAGACACGGUCCAGACUCCUACGGGAGGCAGCAGUAGGGAAUCUUCCGCAAUGGGCGAAAGCCUGACGGAGCAACGCCGCGUGAGUGAUGAAGGUCUUCGGAUCGUAAAACUCUGUUAUUAGGGAAGAACAUAUGUGUAAGUAACUGUGCACAUCUUGACGGUACCUAAUCAGAAAGCCACGGCUAACUACGUGCCAGCAGCCGCGGUAAUACGUAGGUGGCAAGCGUUAUCCGGAAUUAUUGGGCGUAUAGCGCGCGUAGGCGGUUUUUUAGUCUGAUGUGAAAGCCCACGGCUCAACCGUGGAGGGUCAUUGGAAACUGGAAAACUUGAGUGCAGAAGAGGAAAGUGGAAUUCCAUGUGUAGCGGUGAAAUGCGCAGAGAUAUGGAGGAACACCAGUGGCGAAGGCGACUUUCUGGUCUGUAACUGACGCUGAUGUGCGAAAGCGUGGGGAUCAAACAGGAUUAGAUACCCUGGUAGUCCACGCCGUAAACGAUGAGUGCUAAGUGUUAGGGGGUUUCCGCCCCUUAGUGCUGCAGCUAACGCAUUAAGCACUCCGCCUGGGGAGUACGACCGCGAGGUUGAAACUCAAAGGAAUUGACGGGGACCCGCACAAGCGGUGGAGCAUGUGGUUUAAUUCGAAGCAACGCGAAGAACCUUACCAAAUCUUGACAUCCUUUGACAACUCUAGAGAUAGAGCCUUCCCCUUCGGGGGACAAAGUGACAGGUGGUGCAUGGUUGUCGUCAGCUCGUGUCGUGAGAUGUUGGGUUAAGUCCCGCAACGAGCGCAACCCUUAAGCUUAGUUGCCAUCAUUAAGUUGGGCACUCUAAGUUGACUGCCGGUGACAAACCGGAGGAAGGUGGGGAUGACGUCAAAUCAUCAUGCCCCUUAUGAUUUGGGCUACACACGUGCUACAAUGGACAAUACAAAGGGCAGCGAAACCGCGAGGUCAAGCAAAUCCCAUAAAGUUGUUCUCAGUUCGGAUUGUAGUCUGNCACUCGACUACAUGAAGCUGGAAUCGCUAGUAAUCGUAGAUCAGCAUGCUACGGUGAAUACGUUCCCGGGUCU
This 1371-nucleotide ribosomal RNA is filed under the name uncultured bacterium. RNAcentral's name for it is "bacterial SSU rRNA". It matches the Rfam family "Bacterial small subunit ribosomal RNA", at positions 28 to 1381 of the family's 1533-position model. The record is from RNAcentral.